This 696-nucleotide ribosomal RNA is filed under the name uncultured Bradyrhizobium sp. RNAcentral's name for it is "bacterial SSU rRNA". It matches the Rfam family "Bacterial small subunit ribosomal RNA", at positions 28 to 768 of the family's 1533-position model. The record is from RNAcentral. Lineage: Bacteria; Pseudomonadati; Pseudomonadota; Alphaproteobacteria; Hyphomicrobiales; Nitrobacteraceae.
AGCGAACGCUGGCGGCAGGCUUAACACAUGCAAGUCGAGCGGGCGUAGCAAUACGUCAGCGGCAGACGGGUGAGUAACACGUGGGAACGUACCUUUUGGUUCGGAACAACUGAGGGAAACUUCAGCUAAUACCGGAUAAGCCCUAACGGGGAAAGAUUUAUCGCCGAAAGAUCGGCCCGCGUCUGAUUAGCUAGUUGGUGAGGUAAUGGCUCACCAAGGCGACGAUCAGUAGCUGGUUUGAGAGGAUGAUCAGCCACACUGGGACUGAGACACGGCCCAGACUCCUACGGGAGGCAGCAGUGGGGAAUAUUGGACAAUGGGGGCAACCCUGAUCCAGCCAUGCCGCGUGAGUGAUGAAGGCCCUAGGGUUGUAAAGCUCUUUUGUGCGGGAAGAUAAUGACGGUACCGCAAGAAUAAGCCCCGGCUAACUUCGUGCCAGCAGCCGCGGUAAUACGAAGGGGGCUAGCGUUGCUCGGAAUCACUGGGCGUAAAGGGUGCGUAGGCGGGUCUUUAAGUCAGGGGUGAAAUCCUGGAGCUCAACUCCAGAACUGCCUUUGAUACUGAGGAUCUUGAGUCCGGAAGAGGUGAGUGGAACUGCGAGUGUAGAGGUGAAAUUCGUAGAUAUUCGCAAGAACACCAGUGGCGAAGGCGGCUCACUGGUCCGGUACUGACGCUGAGGCACGAAAGCGUGGGGAG